Molecule: ribosomal RNA, 497 nt
Filed under: uncultured bacterium
Lineage: Bacteria
Description: partial 16S ribosomal RNA
Rfam family: Bacterial small subunit ribosomal RNA
Source: RNAcentral
GAUGAACGCUGGCGGCGUGCCUAAUACAUGCAAGUCGAGCGAACGGGCGAGAAGCUUGCUUCUCUGAUGUUAGCGGCGCACGGGUGAGUAACACGUGGAUAACCUACCUAUAAGACUGGGAUAACUUCGGGAAACCGGAGCUAAUACCGGAUGAUAUUUUGAACCGCAUGGUUCAAAAGUGAAAGACGGUCUUGCUGUCACUUAUAGAUGGAUCCGCGCUGCAUUAGCUAGUUGGUAAGGUAACGGCUUACCAAGGCAACGAUGCAUAGCCGACCUGAGAGGGUGAUCGGCCACACUGGAACUGAGACACGGUCCAGACUCCUACGGGAGGCAGCAGUAGGGAAUCUUCCGCAAUGGGCGAAAGCCUGACGGAGCAACGCCGCGUGAGUGAUGAAGGUCUUCGGAUCGUAAAACUCUGUUAUUAGGGAAGAACAUAUGUGUAAGUAACUGUGCACAUCUUGACGGUACCUAAUCAGAAAGCCACGGCUAACUACGUG